Ribosomal RNA from Clostridium cavendishii DSM 21758, 230 nucleotides. It matches the Rfam family "Bacterial small subunit ribosomal RNA", at positions 1 to 228 of the family's 1533-position model. NCBI's taxonomy places the organism in Bacteria, Bacillati, Bacillota, Clostridia, Eubacteriales, Clostridiaceae. The record is from Rfam.
UAAAUUGAGAGUUUGAUCCUGGCUCAGGACGAACGCUGGCGGCGUGCUUAACACAUGCAAGUCGAGCGAGCAGAUUCCCUUCGGGGAUGAAGCUAGCGGCGGACGGGUGAGUAACACGUGGGCAACCUGCCUUAUAGAGGGGGAUAGCCUUCCGAAAGGAAGAUUAAUACCGCAUAACAUCAGAUUAUCGCAUGGUAGACUGAUCAAAGGAGCAAUCCGCUAUAAGAUGG